Molecule: ribosomal RNA, 406 nt
Filed under: Cardinium endosymbiont of Bemisia tabaci
Lineage: Bacteria; Pseudomonadati; Bacteroidota; Cytophagia; Cytophagales; Amoebophilaceae
Description: bacterial SSU rRNA
Rfam family: Bacterial small subunit ribosomal RNA
Source: RNAcentral
GGUCAUAUUAUCUACUUGGUGAGGUAAUGGCUCACCAAGGCUACGAUGGGUAGGGGUUCUUAGUGGAAGAUCCCCCCCACUGGCACUGAGAUACGGGCCAGACUCCUACGGGAGGCAGCAGUAGGGAAUAUUGGUCAAUGGGCGCAAGCCUGAACCAGCCAUGCCGCGUGCAGGAUGAAGGCUCUCUGAGUUGUAAACUGCUUUUGUACAGGAGCAAAAAAAUCCCUGCGGGGGUUCUUGAGAGUACUGUAAGAAUAAGCACCGGCUAAUUCCGUGCCAGCAGCCGCGGUAAUACGGAAGGUGCAAGCGUUAUCCGGUUUUAUUGGGUUUAAAGGGUGCGUAGGCGGCUUAUUAAGUCAGUUGUGAAAUCCUAGUGCUUAACGCUAGAACUGCGAUUGAUACUAUU